This 1354-nucleotide long non-coding RNA is filed under the name Elaeis guineensis (African oil palm). Its description in RNAcentral is "long non-coding RNA (EGUI_LNC052735)". Lineage: Eukaryota; Viridiplantae; Streptophyta; Magnoliopsida; Arecales; Arecaceae. The record is from RNAcentral.
UUUUGUAAUCAUCAAAAUCAAUCUAGGGAGCAACAUCAAUGUAUUUCAAUUUAGUAAAACUUUAGCCAGGGUAACCCAUGUGAUAGAUUUGAAAGGUUGAAAUACAAUAUGAUUGACUUAAUUAGGGUUGAUAGUUAAAUCCUAGAUCACCUUAAAUAUUUGGGUCAAAGAAAUGAAUUAUACGGUAACCAUAUGCCAGUAGAUUCUAGAAGGUUGUUUUGUAAUACUUUGACCUAUCCGGUCAUCGGAUCACCAUUACUAGAUGGUUAUAUCGAUUAGUAUAGAAAGUUGUUCUUAUACUAUCGACCUAAGUUCAAACCUAUGGGAUCACACAUAUUAGAAGAUUUGGUCAGAUCAGAUGGCUGAAGAGUCCAAUUGGAUUGUGACUCUGGUGAGGAGUCCUACUGGGACUGGGACUCUGGAGUAGAGUCCCACUAGGAUUAGGACCUACUACUUUUAUAAAAUUUAUUAGUAAUUAGAUUACUAAUUAACUCAAUUUGAUUGAGCAAAGAGCUUUGGAUCAAAUCUAAUUGAAUGAGAUUCAGUUCGACUCAGAUUGGAUUUGAUAUGAUCAAUCCUGAUUACAAAAAAAAUCUGAUCCUGAUUCGAUCAAAGUUUGGACUUAACUAAUUUCUAAUUGGAUUAAAAAUUUGAUGAGAUAUUUGGGUUUCUAAUUGGAUUAGAUUCAUUUUUAUUAGGAGGUUCAAUUCAAAUUUGAUUUGGAUUAGAAUCAGAAUUAAAAAUGAAGAGUCCUUGUCAACUUAGACUCUAUCCUUAUCUCUUGCGCCACUCCUAAACCCAUGAUAGUUUCUCCACGCCUAAUUGGAUUUGGGUUGUGAUUUUUGGUAUCAUGAUAGAGGGUCCAAUAAGAGUGGAUGGUAAUAUUUGAUGAGUCAUAAUCUUAUCUCUUACCUAAUUCCAAUGCUAUCUGAAUUAGAGAUAAGAUAUAAACUAGGAAAAAGAUUUUUCAUACAUGAAAUAUUGUAGGUGCUAUAUUAUUUUUUUCUUAUUUUUCUUGGAGAAUCCUUUAGUCUGUGAGACUUUAGAAUCCUUCUCCACAUCCUAGUGAUUUUUUUAAAAUUUUUUGAGAUGCCAAAAGGUGAUUUUGGCAUGGACUAUUGGUGCCCUUCCUUGUAAAAACCCUAAUUCUUAGUCUAUAUAAAGGGAUCCUCUCUCUUGGACAUCCUAUGAUCAAUUCUCUUGCUGAUUUUUAUUUUCAGAGUCUCUUCUCCUCCUCCUCUCUUCCUCCUCUAGAUCCUCUCUUGCUUUAAAGUGUCCAAGUUGCUUGAAGAAGAAGGAAGAAAUCAACUGUCAAAGUUGCUUGCAGGCUAGCACCUCCAAGUCUCUGAUCUGC